RNAcentral lists this transfer RNA (72 nucleotides) under Ovis aries (sheep). It matches the Rfam family "tRNA". Rfam says of the family: Transfer RNA (tRNA) molecules are approximately 80 nucleotides in length. Their secondary structure includes four short double-helical elements and three loops (D, anti-codon, and T loops). Lineage: Eukaryota; Metazoa; Chordata; Mammalia; Artiodactyla; Bovidae. The record is from Rfam by way of RNAcentral.
UCCCUGGUGGCUCAGAUGGUAAAGCGUCUGCCUGCAAUGCAGGAGACCAGGGUUCGAUCCCUGGGUUGGGAA